RNA transcript from Pyrus x bretschneideri (Chinese white pear), 1391 nucleotides. It is a transcript of the gene named replication protein A 32 kDa subunit A-like, with no coding region annotated. The transcript has 8 exons. The record is from RefSeq and is a predicted model, not a curated record. Lineage: Eukaryota; Viridiplantae; Streptophyta; Magnoliopsida; Rosales; Rosaceae.
UCGAAUCAUUUUUCCGAUAUGAAGACGAAAAUUCAGCGGGUAAAUAAAAAAGUAAAAACAAGAUUGGCGGGAAGAUUGUUUGCCUUCCUAAAUAUCUCAGACCGCCACUUUCAUUUCCUCUCUCUUUCCUUUCCCAGAUCGGUUUCUAAGGUUUUCAAAGAUGUUCUCAGGCUCCCAAUUCGACGCGACCAACGCCUUCUCCGGCGGUGGUUUCAUGGCUUCUCAGUCCACUCAAUUCGGCGAUUCCACUCCCUCUCCGGCCAAGCGCCGCGAAACUCACGGAUUGGUUCCGGUGACGGUGAAGCAGAUCAGCGAAGCUCAUCAGUUCGGUGAUGAAAAAUCAAACUUUGUGAUCAAUGGUGCAGACGUUGCCAAUGUAUCGGUGGUUAGGAUGGCUUUCGAUAAUGCCGAAAGGAACACUGAUGUUGGUUUCACUGUGGAUGACGGGACAGGGCGAAUCAAGUGCCGAAGAUGGGUGAAUGAGAAUUUUGACUCAAGAGAAAUGCAAGAAAUAGAAGAUGGAAUGUAUGUUCGUGUUAACGGACACUUGAAAGUCUUUCAAGGUGUUCGACAGAUUAUUGCCUUUUCUGUGAGGCCUGUGAAAAACUUUGACGAAGUUACCUUCCACUUCAUUGAAUGCAUACAUACCCACUUGCAGAUGUCCAAGUUACAUUACUAUUUUGAAUUGAUGAACGAAUUACUUUGUUUUCUGCAUUCAUUCACUUGAAGAUGAAUUUGAUAGACUGUACCUUAUAAUUUAUUAAAGCUGCAAGGGAACACUGCCACUCAAACCCAGCCUGUGAACUCAUCUUUGAACACUCCUGUGGAGAGCAGGUCAACUGGAUAUCAGACAGCCCCGUCAAACCAAUUAUGUUGUCAUUACUUGUUUGGCAAGCAAUUAAUGUUCAAUUUUGUAGUUCUCCGGGCAAGUUAGCAUUGAUGGACUAAAGAGCUGUGAUCAGUUGGUCCUUGACUAUCUGCAGCAGCCUUCAAGCAUUGGAAAAUAAAAGGGGAUACACACAGAUUAACUAUUCCAGCACCUGAAAGUUCCCAUGGAAAAGAUCUUUGAAGCUAUCAGGUCUCUCGAGGAGGAAGGCUUAAUAUACUCCACAAUCGACGAGUUUCACUACAAAUCAGCAGCAUAUGGUUAAUAUUCAUCACAAAUUGAACUUGGUGCUUAGGGUUGGAACUUGGAAGUACCUGUAUGAACACUGUUAUGUGUAUUUCUCUUCCCAUAUCUAAUUUAUCCCUUUGGAUCUUCAGGUGGGUUCAGUAUCAAAGUUCAAUUUAACCGAGCUCGCUAUUUUGGUUGAUCAAAAAAUGUUGCGAGAUAACAAAUUCAGUUUAUACUAAUCAUUUCCAACUUAGUGUUGGGAAAAUAUUAUUUCUUG